Formica exsecta is the source of this 1104-nucleotide long non-coding RNA. RefSeq lists it as uncharacterized. The transcript has 3 exons. The record is from RefSeq and is a predicted model, not a curated record. NCBI's taxonomy places the organism in Eukaryota, Metazoa, Arthropoda, Insecta, Hymenoptera, Formicidae.
GUUCGGCCAUCUUGAGAGUCUCGCGUCGGUGGUGAUUCCGAUCGGACGUAUCGGCUGAUUUACGAGAUUUAUCUGUUCUGUGCUUUGUGUUCUGUGUUCUAAGCUGUUAUUAAAGUUCUUUUCGUUCUUUUAAAAGAGUGUUUAUUAUUUACUUUGCGGUACGCGAGUGCUGGUUGUCUCACGCGUAUUCGAGUAAUAUCGAAGUCGACACGCGGGCGCAACAAUAUAUAUGCACACAUGUAUUAUGCAUAUAUAAAAUUCUCAACAAAUGGGCGCCUGUUAGCCUUGUUGCGUUACUGUUUUCUGCCACGAGAGGCCAGAAAGCAUUUUCAGGACGUAUCUCGGCUGUAAAGUGAUACAUUGAGAACAAGGACAAGGAUAGCACACGAUUGUCGCUCCUUGUCUGAUAUUAUCUCCCAACAAUCGCAUCCAUGUGCUUAACAUAUUGGUGUAUGCCUUCACGGACGCUACACACAUCGGUGCAAGAGAGACAAAGACGACGCAAUCAUCUUUCCUUGUCACGUGGCUAUAUGGCGUAUCGCUUUCAGGGAUCAUCUAAAACCAGGCCGUGGCGUCUCUCAGACUUCUCUCUGGUUUCCAUUUCAUUCAUUCCCAAUAAAAUAAUAAGAAGCGACAGAAGUGAUUGGAAGCGUUACACUUAUAUAAUUAUAAUCCACCGAGAUGGGGUGCUAUGUGUCCUGCCCAUAUUAAAAGUUUGUUGAAUAUGUACAAAUUUGUAUACACUGAUAACAAUUUCCUUAAGUUUAUUUCUACGUAUAAACUGAAUCAGGACCACCUUGAAUUAAUUUUUACUAAUUUAAGAUCUCAUCAUGGAUAAUAAUAAUCCUACAGUUCAACAAUGUAAAUCUGCGUAUAAAAAAUUAUUAUACAUACGGAAUUACAGGAGAAAAAUAGUGGCAGUUGUAUACCAUUAGAAGAUAUUACAAUAUUGUAUGUGUCAUCUGAACAGCCGAUUAAUAUCAUAAAUGCAACGACAAACACAGCUUCACAAACACAAUGGCUUGAUGUUUUUCAUAAUGAACAUAAUAAUGACCAUGAGUAGUAUACAAAAGCAUAUGUUCUGGGUCACAUUUUUUCCUCUAU